RNAcentral lists this ribosomal RNA (505 nucleotides) under Vibrio sp. 1Bb3S16. Its description in RNAcentral is "bacterial SSU rRNA". It matches the Rfam family "Bacterial small subunit ribosomal RNA", at positions 380 to 876 of the family's 1533-position model. The record is from RNAcentral. Lineage: Bacteria; Pseudomonadati; Pseudomonadota; Gammaproteobacteria; Vibrionales; Vibrionaceae. RNAcentral also lists the same sequence under 1 other name.
AGCCUGAUGCAGCCAUGCCGCGUGUAUGAAGAAGGCCUUCGGGUUGUAAAGUACUUUCAGCAGUGAGGAAGGUAGUAGUGUUAAUAGCGCUAUUAUUUGACGUUAGCUGCAGAAGAAGCACCGGCUAACUCCGUGCCAGCAGCCGCGGUAAUACGGAGGGUGCGAGCGUUAAUCGGAAUUUCUGGGCGUAAAGCGCAUGCAGGUGGAUGAUUAAGUCAGAUGUGAAAGCCCGGGGCUCAACCUCGGAAUAGCAUUUGAAACUGGUCAUCUAGAGUACUGUAGAGGGGGGUAGAAUUUCAGGUGUAGCGGUGAAAUGCGUAGAGAUCUGAAGGAAUACCGGUGGCGAAGGCGGCCCCCUGGACAGAUACUGACACUCAGAUGCGAAAGCUUUUUUGAGCAAACAGGAUUAGAUACCCUGGUAGUCCACGCCGUAAACGAUGUCUACUUGGAGGUUGUGGCCUUGAGCCGUGGCUUUCGGAGCUAACGCGUUAAGUAGACCGCCUGG